Non-coding RNA from Agrilus planipennis (emerald ash borer), 84 nucleotides. NCBI's taxonomy places the organism in Eukaryota, Metazoa, Arthropoda, Insecta, Coleoptera, Buprestidae. The record is from Rfam.
AGGUUUUAGUCGGUAGGCGUCCUUCGGGAUGAAUCCGACACUACCCGGUCGCGCGGGCGCCCGGGUGUCUUUUGAAGAUUUCCU